GGUGGGUUGUAGCUCAGUGGUAGAACAUCUGAUUUGCAUUCAAAAGGUCCCAGUUUUAAUCCCGGGCAUCUCCA
This is a non-coding RNA of Podarcis lilfordi (Lilford's wall lizard), 74 nucleotides long. The record is from the annotation of a GenBank genome assembly. NCBI's taxonomy places the organism in Eukaryota, Metazoa, Chordata, Lepidosauria, Squamata, Lacertidae.